This 74-nucleotide transfer RNA is filed under the name Candidatus Zambryskibacteria bacterium RIFCSPHIGHO2_02_FULL_39_82. RNAcentral's name for it is "tRNA-Gly". It matches the Rfam family "tRNA". Rfam says of the family: Transfer RNA (tRNA) molecules are approximately 80 nucleotides in length. Their secondary structure includes four short double-helical elements and three loops (D, anti-codon, and T loops). Lineage: Bacteria; Candidatus Zambryskiibacteriota. The record is from RNAcentral. RNAcentral also lists the same sequence under 1 other name.
GCGGGUAUGGUUUAGUGGUAGAACAUGGCCUUCCCAAGGCUAGGACCCCAGUCCGAUUCUGGGUACCCGCACCA